This 769-nucleotide ribosomal RNA is filed under the name bacterium. Its description in RNAcentral is "bacterial SSU rRNA". It matches the Rfam family "Bacterial small subunit ribosomal RNA", at positions 70 to 848 of the family's 1533-position model. The record is from RNAcentral.
UGAUCCGGUGCUUGCACCGGGGAUUAGUGGCGAACGGGUGAGUAACACGUGAGUAACCUGCCCUUAACUCUGGGAUAAGCCUGGGAAACUGGGUCUAAUACCGGAUAUGACUCCUCAUCGCAUGGUGGGGGGUGGAAAGCUUUUUUGUGGUUUUGGAUGGACUCGCGGCCUAUCAGCUUGUUGGUGAGGUAAUGGCUCACCAAGGCGACGACGGGUAGCCGGCCUGAGAGGGUGACCGGCCACACUGGGACUGAGACACGGCCCAGACUCCUACGGGAGGCAGCAGUGGGGAAUAUUGCACAAUGGGCGCAAGCCUGAUGCAGCGACGCCGCGUGAGGGAUGACGGCCUUCGGGUUGUAAACCUCUUUCAGUAGGGAAGAAGCGAAAGUGACGGUACCUGCAGAAGAAGCGCCGGCUAACUACGUGCCAGCAGCCGCGGUAAUACGUAGGGCGCAAGCGUUAUCCGGAAUUAUUGGGCGUAAAGAGCUCGUAGGCGGUUUGUCGCGUCUGCCGUGAAAGUCCGGGGCUCAACUCCGGAUCUGCGGUGGGUACGGGCAGACUAGAGUGAUGUAGGGGAGACUGGAAUUCCUGGUGUAGCGGUGAAAUGCGCAGAUAUCAGGAGGAACACCGAUGGCGAAGGCAGGUCUCUGGGCAUUAACUGACGCUGAGGAGCGAAAGCAUGGGGAGCGAACAGGAUUAGAUACCCUGGUAGUCCAUGCCGUAAACGUUGGGCACUAGGUGUGGGGGACAUUCCACGUUUUCCGCGCCG